Molecule: ribosomal RNA, 406 nt
Filed under: uncultured bacterium
Lineage: Bacteria
Description: partial 16S ribosomal RNA
Rfam family: Bacterial small subunit ribosomal RNA
Source: RNAcentral
AUUGAACGCUGGCGGCAGGCCUAACACAUGCAAGUCGAGCGAGCGGCGGACGGGUGAGUAAUGUCUGGGAAACUGCCUGAUGGGGGGGGGUAACUACUGGAAACGGUGGCUCAUACCGCAUACCAUAAAAGGUGCCCAGAGGGGAUUAGCUAGUAGGUGGGGUAAUGGCUCACCUAGACGCCGAUCCCUCGCUGGUCUGAGAGGAUGACCAGCCACACUGGAACUGAGACACGGCCCAGACUCCUACGGGAGGCAGCAGUGGGGAAUAUUGCACAAUGGGCGCAAGCCUGAGGCAGCCAUGCCGCGUGUGUGAAGAAGGCCUUCGGGUUGUAAAGCACUUUCAGCGGGGAGGCGUUACCCGCAGAAGAAGCACCGGCUAACUCCGUGCCAGCAGCCGCGGUAAUAC